GAUGAACGCUAGCGGGAGGCCUAACACAUGCAAGCCGAGCGGUAUUUGCUCUUCGGACCAGAGAGAGCGGCGCACGGGUGCGGAACACGUGUGCAACCUGCCUUUAUCUGGGGGAUAGCCUUUCGAAAGGAAGAUUAAUACCCCAUAAUAUAUUGAGUGGCAUCAUUUGAUAUUGAAAACUCCGGUGGAUAGAGAUGGGCACGCGCAAGAUUAGAUAGUUGGUGAGGUAACGGCUCACCAAGUCAAUGAUCUUUAGGGGGCCUGAGAGGGUGAUCCCCCACACUGGUACUGAGACACGGACCAGACUCCUACGGGAGGCAGCAGUGAGGAAUAUUGGACAAUGGGUUAGCGCCUGAUCCAGCCAUCCCGCGUGAAGGACGACGGCCCUAUGGGUUGUAAACUUCUUUUGUAUAGGGAUAAACCUACUCUCGUGAGAGUAGCUGAAGGUACUAUACGAAUAAGCACCGGCUAACUCCGUG
This 479-nucleotide ribosomal RNA is filed under the name uncultured bacterium. RNAcentral's name for it is "partial 16S ribosomal RNA". It matches the Rfam family "Bacterial small subunit ribosomal RNA", at positions 28 to 507 of the family's 1533-position model. The record is from RNAcentral.